AUUGAACGCUGGCGGCAGGCCUAACACAUGCAAGUCGAGCGGAUGAAGGGAGCUUGCUCCUGGAUUCAGCGGCGGACGGGUGAGUAAUGCCUAGGAAUCUGCCUGGUAGUGGGGGAUAACGUCCGGAAACGGGCGCUAAUACCGCAUACGUCCUGAGGGAGAAAGUGGGGGAUCUUCGGACCUAAGGCUACCAGAUAAGCCUAGGUCGGAUUAGCUAGUUGGUGGGGUAAAGGCCUACCAAGGCGACGAUCCGUAACUGGUCUGAGAGGAUGAUCAGUCACACUGGAACUGAGACACGGUCCAGACUCCUACGGGAGGCAGCAGUGGGGAAUAUUGGACAAUGGGCGAAAGCCUGAUCCAGCCAUGCCGCGCGUGUGAAGAAGGUCUUCGGAUUGUAAAGCACUUUAAGUUGGGAGGAAGGGCAGUAAGUUAAUACCUUGCUGUUUUGACGUUACCAACAGAAUAAGCACCGGCUAACUUCGUG
This 484-nucleotide ribosomal RNA is filed under the name uncultured bacterium. RNAcentral describes it as "partial 16S ribosomal RNA". It matches the Rfam family "Bacterial small subunit ribosomal RNA", at positions 30 to 507 of the family's 1533-position model. The record is from RNAcentral.